ACGGGUGAGUAACACGUGAGUAACCUUCCCUUGACUCUGGGAUAAGCCCGGGAAACUGGGUCUAAUACCGGAUACGACCUCCUGCCGCAUGGUGUGGGGGUGGAAAGAUUUAUCGGUCUUGGAUGGACUCGCGGCCUAUCAGCUUGUUGGUGAGGUAAUGGCUCACCAAGGCGACGACGGGUAGCCGGCCUGAGAGGGUGACCGGCCACACUGGGACUGAGACACGGCCCAGACUCCUACGGGAGGCAGCAGUGGGGAAUAUUGCACAAUGGGCGCAAGCCUGAUGCAGCGACGCCGCGUGAGGGAUGACGGCCUUCGGGUUGUAAACCUCUUUCAGUAGGGAAGAAGCGAAAGUGACGGUACCUGCAGAAGAAGCGCCGGCUAACUACGUGCCAGCAGCCGCGGUAAUACGUAGGGCGCGAGCGUUAUCCGGAAUUAUUGGGCGUAAAGAGCUCGUAGGCGGUUUGUCGCGUCUGCCGUGAAAGUCCGGGGCUUAACCCCGGAUCUGCGGUGGGUACGGGCAGACUAGAGUGCAGUAGGGGAGACUGGAAUUCCUGGUGUAGCGGUGAAAUGCGCAGAUAUCAGGAGGAACACCGAUGGCGAAGGCAGGUCUCUGGGCUGUUACUGACGCUGAGGAGCGAAAGCAUGGGGAGCGAACAGGAUUAGAUACCCUGGUAGUCCAUGCCGUAAACGUUGGGCA
RNAcentral lists this ribosomal RNA (700 nucleotides) under Actinomycetes bacterium. RNAcentral's name for it is "bacterial SSU rRNA". It matches the Rfam family "Bacterial small subunit ribosomal RNA", at positions 102 to 815 of the family's 1533-position model. The record is from RNAcentral. Lineage: Bacteria; Bacillati; Actinomycetota; Actinomycetes.